UAUAAAACUAGAACAGAUGCGUGUGUAGAAAUGCAAAAGCAAGUUUUCGUACAAGCUGAAUAGCAGUGUGGUUAAUGUUCUAGAGACAACCAUGAACUUUUGUUUCAAAAAAAAAAAAAAAAAAAAAAGAGACAACCAUGAACAUUAUGCUGAAUUUUGAAGACUCAAUCCACAACACAAAAAUUACAACUUAUGUUCUCUACUAGAUAAUGGGAAUAACAUCUUGUGCCAAUGUUUAAGAGACAAAAAUGAGGAGUAUGAAGAAUGUGAGUACUCAAAUCUAAAACAGAAAAAUAACAAUGGUGGGUUAUCAAAUAGCUUGUAUCGAUAUCACAUUCUUCCUGGGAUAUGCAUAUGGGUGUGUGGAUGUGGGAGUGAGAGGCUACCAAGAUAGUGGUGACGCACACGUGGACCGUGAAUGGUGGUGUCCAUGUGUACGGUUGAAUACUAGUGUCCAUGUGUACGCUGGUUUGCAUAUGUUGUCCAUGUGGACAGUAAAAUGCUUGUGUCCAUGUCUCCUAGAACGUAUCCAUGUGUGAUAUUUCCAGGGCAUGCUUGUGUCCAUGUCUCCUAGAACGUAUCCAUGUGUGAUAUUUCCAGGGUCGUGUCUGCAGUUGAGAAGCCGUAAAUGAUUUAUGCCGUCGAGUUCCUGGAACAACAUGUUAUAGAAUAUUGAAUCUGAAUAUCAUCUGGGACAUAUCUGAUACUGGGUUUUUUUUUUCUGUUAGAAAUGAAACGAGUUGAAAUAUAUUAUUAACAAAACUAUAGAAAUAGAGUAUGUAUACUUGUUCUCGAGAUCAAAGACGUACUAACAAAUGAGGUGAAAUUAAGAACAAAAAGGAUUCACAAAAUCUAACUACUCACCAAAUGGUUGUGUACACACAUUUAGAUCGAAGACAUGAACAUCAAAAUAUAUAAAUACUAUUUAAAUACUGUUUAUACAUCCCAAAAUAUUUAAGGUACUUGAAUCUUACAAACCCAAAACUGACAGAUCAACAAGAACAACUGUAAUAGCAUAUUCACACUAGAAAUUGUAAUAAUUACAAAUUUUGAAUUUUGGAUACCUAACAAGAGUUCACGAACCGAAAGAGCUCCGUCCACAGCCGUAGAAACUGGUGGUGGUUGCUGCAUAUCCGCCACUCAUAGCCAUCUUCCGCUGCUCAACGAUUGCCUUUUUAGGAAAUCGAUGACUAAGUCGGACUAAAUCUCUAUAAAUCUCGAGAUAUUACAAUAAAUAAGACGACCAGAAAACAUAAAGGAGAAAUAUAAGGUUGGAGGAAGAAGAAGAAGAUUAAAUAAGAAAGAAGGUUGGAGUUAUGUUUUCGAUUUCAUCAAGCAAAUUAAUUCUUUAGUGAUGAGCUUCAAUCGCGUUUUUUCUUUGAUUUCAGUACUUAUCUCGUUGUGAGAUGUAAUUUGGGUUUCAAAUCUGACAAAAGACAAAGAAAAGAAAGUGAGAGAAAGAAAAUAAAAUUGCAGCCAAGAAAAUAAUAACGAAAGGGUAAUUCUGGGUUUUUCAUAU
Molecule: long non-coding RNA, 1519 nt
Filed under: Brassica rapa (field mustard)
Lineage: Eukaryota; Viridiplantae; Streptophyta; Magnoliopsida; Brassicales; Brassicaceae
Description: long non-coding RNA (BRAP_LNC004121)
Source: RNAcentral